GUCGUCCCGGCCAGAUCUAGCCCAAAUCCCUUCUGCUUUGACCCUAGCCGCCAUCGACCGCCCUCCGCCGCCCGACCCCAGCAGCCCUCGACCACACAUCGCACCAACCUUCCUCACGGACCACCGCUGCUGCCGAGCAACCUCCUCCGACGCCGUCAAGUACCAUCGUCCGCAGAUCUGAUCCGCCCUCCGCCGCAUCCCUAGCGUCGCCCAAAUGUCACCGCUCCCUCCAUGCUUUCUCCCUGGGCUGCAACAUCUCCUUGCACCUCUCUCGAACUGCCGAGAUGGGCGUGCAGCGAGAUAGGUUUGGCGUCGCCGGCCCCUCCUGGUCGUACUCCUCCUGUGUGUGCUCCUCCGCCCCUGGUCACGUCAUGCUCUCCAGCCUAUCGUCCUUCAUCCGUACUACCCCAGUUCCUGCUGCUCCGGCCUCCCCUUCUCGUACUUCGAGCCCGAGAAUCAUAAGUUAAUAGAUGUUGGUGUCUCAGAAUGACAGGUAAUACCAUUUAAAAAUUUCAAUGAUUAAUGACACCACAUGGUCGAGCACAUAUGCCAAAUCUCCUUCCUCUGCUUCGAAGAAAAUAGCAGAGCACUCGAAUGGAAGAAUGUAUCUGGAACGUCAGCCUUAGCCAGUGCAGACCGCUCUAGCAACAGUUGCCGCUUUGUUUUACAUGUAAAUAUCUAUUACAAAGUGCUAUUUUCAGCUGUAAACAUUCAGCCUAUACGACUAUGUACUGCAUGUUUUACUAAUAAUUGCUGCCUGGUAUCUUGUCUGACCUGAAACAUAUGGUCAUUUUAGUAAUAGCAACAUCAAAGUAGAAAUUAGGUUGGGCAGCGAAGUCUUCUGUUCGUUUUUAGGUUCUAGCCAACAACAUAGUUCUUGUGUUGUUUUGGCCAUGUUUGGGUUCCUUUUGCAUUUGCUUCCCUUUUAAUGCUUGAUUUGUCUGCUAAAGGAGAUAGGAGACACUGCAGGUUGGCUGUGUCCACGGUGCUGCUUUUGCCUAAGAUGGAUUCAAGUUAUUGAGGUUGGUAUCGUCACUCGAAGAUGUUUCUACAUGAUAGUAGUUGUACCAGUCAACUUGGAUGUCUACGUAAUGGUUCUUUUUACAGUAAUACCUUCAAAGCAUUGCAAGCUCAUGACUCUUCUGCUGGAGACAUGUGGCCAUCUUCGAAUAAUACAAUUUCACAGGAUGGUUGCAACCACGUGCUGAGCUUAAACCAUGUGUGUACCAUAGUUUGAAGACUCGAAAUCUUAUCAGCUUAUGUAAAGUUUGUUUACCGCUGUAGCUGGUUGCUACCGAACGCAUGUAUGGAUGUUGAAGUAUUGGUUUUUUCAGUCUAAAAAUAUUUGUGAAGUUCAAGGUUUUGAAUGAGGCCUAUAUGUAACUUCGAUUGAAGCUAUAUGUAUAAGUUGUGAUC
Molecule: long non-coding RNA, 1416 nt
Organism: Triticum aestivum (bread wheat)
Lineage: Eukaryota; Viridiplantae; Streptophyta; Magnoliopsida; Poales; Poaceae
Exons: 3
Source: RefSeq, a predicted model, not a curated record